CCUGCAUCAAGCCCUGCAUCAAGCCCUGCAUCAAGCCCUGCAUCAAGCCCUGCAUCAAGUCCUGCAUCAAGCCCUGCAUCAAGCCCUGCAUCAAGCCUUGCAUCAAGCCCUGCAUCAAGUCCUGCAUCAAGCCCUGCAUCAAGUCCUGCCCACAGUACAUUAAGGAGGAACACUGAAAGGCAGGAGCCCUAGCGGUUAAGAGUGUUGGGCCAGUAACCGAAAGGUCGCUGGCUCGAAUUGUUGUCCAGAGUUGUCCAGGGUCGCCAUCAUUAAUGGCUGAUAUCCCAGGCCUUGACCACACUCUGAGGCUGUGUCUCAGGGGGAGUUGUCCAGGGUCGCCAUCAUUAAUGGCUGAUAUCCCAGGCCUUGACCACACUCUGAGGCUGUGUCUCAGGGGGAGUUGUCCAGGGUCGCCAUCAUUAAUGGCUGAUAUCCCAGGCCUUGACCACACACUCUGAGGCUGUGUCUCAGGGGGAGUUGUCCAGGGUCACCAUCAUUAAUGGCUGAUAUCCCAGGCCUUGACCACUCUCCGAGGCUGUGUCUCAGGGGGAGUUGGGAUGUGCAAAAAAUAAAUUUCCAAUUCACAUGUGUAAUAAUACAGUCUUGUACAUGUGUGAAAUAGAAUAAAUAAACCCCCACCUAAUUAUUCUUAUUAAUAAGAUUGAAGAGCAACGGCACUUUGGUACACAGUCAAUAGGUUACAUAGCUGAGGGGAUGGAUACGAAGCAGAACAGUAGCUCUCUGCUUCCCCUCCUAUCAGAGAGAAUAAAUCAUUCCAACCACACUGAUAACAGAAAGCCUGUGGUCUUGCUCUCUGGUUUCAAACAAACCCCUCCAGUAUUCACAUAACGGACAGCUUUCUUCCAAAAUGAUAAUACACACAGAAAGUCCAGUUGUAUAAACUCUACUCUGAAUGUUUUGUAUUUUUAUAUAAAGGCCCAGUGCAGUCAAAAACGUGAAUUUCCUGUGUUUUACCAUCCAGUUUAAUAGGUACAACACCAUGUUCACAAAAGUGGAUCACAACGGCAGCAGACACAACGGGCAGCAGACACAAGGGGCAGCAGACACAACGGCAGCAGACACAACGGGCAGCAGACACAAGGGGCAGCAGACACAACGGCAGCAGACACAACGGGCAGCAGACACAACGGCAGCAGACACAACGGGCAGCAGACACAACGGCAGCAGACACAACGGGCAGCAGACACAAGGGGCAGCAGACACAACGGCAGCAGACACAACGGGCAGCAGACACAACGGGCAGCAGACACAACGGGCAGCAGACACAACGGGCAGCAGACACAACGGCAGCAGACACAACGGGCAGCAGACACAAGGGGCAGCAGACACAACGGCAGCAGACACAACGGGCAGCAGACACAACGGGCAGCAGACACAACGGGCAGCAGACACAACGGGCAGCAGACACAACGGCAGCAGACACAAGGGGCAGCAGACACAACGGGCAGCAGACACAACGGGCAGCAGACACAACGGCAGCAGACACAACGGGCAGCAGACACAACGGCAGCAGACACAACGGGCAGCAGACACAACGGGCAGCAGACACAACGGCAGCAGACACAAGGGGCAGCAGACACAACGGGCAGCAGACACAACGGCAGCAGACACAAGGGGCAGCAGACACAACGGCAGCAGACACAACGGGCAGCAGACACAACGGGCAGCAGACACAACGGGCAGCAGACACACGGGCAGCAGACACAACGGGCAGCAGACAACGGGCAGCAGACAACGGGCAGCAGACACAACGGGCAGCAGACACAAGGG
This is a long non-coding RNA of Oncorhynchus tshawytscha (Chinook salmon), 1791 nucleotides long. Lineage: Eukaryota; Metazoa; Chordata; Actinopteri; Salmoniformes; Salmonidae. The record is from Ensembl.